GAGGUUUGAAAUCAUUAAUAUGAAUUUGUUGUUUAGAUAAAUGUAUGAGUUGCCUGUUAGAAGUAGCUCUUUCUGGAAAUGAAGAACAGAAGCCUUUUGAUUAUAAAUUGCGGCCUGAAAUUGCUGUCUAUGUAGACUUGGCAUUGGGUUGUUCUAAAGAGCCGGCCCGUAGCCUUUGGAUCAGCAUGCAAGAUUACGCUGUUAGUAAAGAUUGGGACAGUGCAACUUUAAGUAAUGAGUCGCUCUUGGACACUGUGUCUAGAUUUGUUCUUGCAGCACUUCUGAAACACACAAAUCUGCUUAGUCAAGCAUGUGGAGAAAGCCGGCAAGUACCUUAAAACUAGUCUUAGACAAAUAUUUGCUCUCAGGAUAUGAUGUAAGAAACUAGGUAACCUUUCUAUUUUGGUUCUUUAUUUAGAUACCAACCUGGUAAAAGCUUAUCAGAAGUGUACCGUUGUGUAUACAAAGUUCGAAGUCGUUUACUUGCUUGCAAAAAUCUUGAACUUAUUCAAACCAGAUCAUCAUCACAAGACAGAUGGAUCUCAGAAAACCAAGAUUCUGCAGAUGUUGAUCCUCAGGAGCAUUCAUUUACCCGGACCAUUGAUGAAGAAGCUGAAAUGGAAGAACAGGCAGAGAGAGAUCGGGAAGAGGGCCAUCCAGAACCAGAGGAUGAGGAGGAAGAACGGGAACAUGAAGUGAUGACAGCCGGCAAAAUCUUUCAGUGUUUCCUCUCAGCCCGUGAAGUAGCUCGUAGCCGAGACCGAGAUAGAAUGAACAGUGGGGCAGGGUCUGGGGCUCGAGUUGAUGAUCCACCUCCUCAGUCUCAGCAAGAGCGAAGGGUGAGCGCAGACCUACCCGAGGGUCAGGACGUGUACACCGCUGCCUGCAACUCUGUGAUCCACCGUUGUGCCCUGUUAAUACUAGGAGUAAGUCCUGUGAUUGAUGAGCUUCAGAAGCGGAGGGAAGAAGGACAGCUGCAGCAGCCUUCUGCGAGUACCUCUGAAGGGGGUGGACUGAUGACCAGGAGUGAAAGCCUUACUGCAGAGAGCCGGCUAAUCCAUGCAAGUCCAAAUUAUAGACUGAUCAAAUCGAGGAGUGAAUCUGAUUUGUCUCAGCCUGAAUCAGAUGAGGAGGGUUACACACUCAGUGGCAGAAGAAAUGUUGAUUUGGAUUUGGCAUCAUCUCAUAGAAAGAGAGGUCCUAUGCAUAGUCAGUUGGAAUCCCUGAGUGACUCUUGGGUCCGCCUGAAACAUAGCAGAGACUGGUUAUACAACUCCUCUUACUCCUUUGAGUCUGAUUUUGAUCUCACCAAGUCUUUGGGAGUUCACACUUUGAUUGAAAAUGUUGUAAGCUUUGUGAGUGGAGACGUGGGGAAUACCCCAGGCUUUAAAGAGCCAGAGGACAGCAUGUCUACAAGUCCCCAGGCUUCCAUCAUUGCAAUGGAACAGCAACAGUUGAGGGCAGAACUUCGUUUGGAGGCACUUCACCAAAUCCUUGUUCUGUUGUCCGGAAUGGAGGAAAAAGGUAGCCUGUCGCUGGCAGGAAGCAGAUUGAGUUCAGGCUUUCAGUCCUCCACAUUGCUCACAUCUGUGAGACUGCAGUUCCUUGCAGGGUGUUUUGGUUUAGGCACUGUUGGACACACUGUUGGAGCCAAAGGAGAGAGUGGCCGCUUACAUCACUAUCAGGUAGGCAAACACCUUGCAGUAUACUUAGAGUUUAAUUGUCUUUUUGUUAUAAAUGCAUUGUAAUAAUGUGAAACUGUAGUGUUUGUGAUGAGGUUUUAAAAUGUAAAGGUUAUGGCUGGG
Molecule: long non-coding RNA, 1805 nt
Filed under: Cavia porcellus (domestic guinea pig)
Lineage: Eukaryota; Metazoa; Chordata; Mammalia; Rodentia; Caviidae
Description: lncRNA (ENSCPOG00000038061.1)
Source: RNAcentral